GUCUGCGUCUGUUUCACAUUUGAAUGCGACAGGAAAGGGAACUAGCUUUGGAGCAUGCGCUCAUUUGGGGAACCAGAGAUAUUGCUUAUGAAGAAAGGGAUACCGUUUCUGCUUGACCACGAAGCUCCUCACCACAUGGGACAGAGACUUUGCUGCGCCAAAAGAUGGCUAACACGAUCCGGAGCUGUCGGUUAAGGCCAGCACUAAACCUGGACAACACUGCAGCAUUGUACACAGAUAAAUUGUAUUACACCACAAGCACUAUAGCACUCACUCUGGACUUGUGAGUGUGUGUGUCUUUGUGUGUGUUCUACUGUGUUUAUUAUUUACAAACUGUGUCUUAUUAUUUCAGGACUGCAACUCGUUGUUUUGGAACAGUGCAAUACACAUUGCUGUGUAUUGCCUGGGAUUAUUCACCAGACCAGGAUUAUAAAAAUAAAACCUGUUUGGAUCAUGAA
Acipenser ruthenus (sterlet) is the source of this 458-nucleotide long non-coding RNA. RefSeq lists it as uncharacterized. The transcript has 3 exons. The record is from RefSeq and is a predicted model, not a curated record. NCBI's taxonomy places the organism in Eukaryota, Metazoa, Chordata, Actinopteri, Acipenseriformes, Acipenseridae.